AGAACGCUGGCGGCGUGCCUAAUACAUGCAAGUCGAGCGGACUUAAAAAGCUUGCUUUUUAAGUUAGCGGCGGACGGGUGAGUAACACGUGGGCAACCUGCCUGUAAGACUGGGAUAACUUCGGGAAACCGGAGCUAAUACCGGAUAAUCCUUUCCUACUCAUGUAGGAAAGCUGAAAGACGGUUUACGCUGUCACUUACAGAUGGGCCCGCGGCGCAUUAGCUAGUUGGUGAGGUAACGGCUCACCAAGGCGACGAUGCGUAGCCGACCUGAGAGGGUGAUCGGCCACACUGGGACUGAGACACGGCCCAGACUCCUACGGGAGGCAGCAGUAGGGAAUCUUCCGCAAUGGACGAAAGUCUGACGGAGCAACGCCGCGUGAGUGAUGAAGGUUUUCGGAUCGUAAAACUCUGUUGUUAGGGAAGAACAAGUACGAGAGUAACUGCUCGUACCUUGACGGUACCUAACCAGAAAGCCACGGCUAACUACGUGCCAGCAGCCGCGGUAAUACGUAGGUGGCAAGCGUUGUCCGGAAUUAUUGGGCGUAAAGCGCGCGCAGGCGGUCCUUUAAGUCUGAUGUGAAAGCCCACGGCUCAACCGUGGAGGGUCAUUGGAAACUGGGGGACUUGAGUGCAGAAGAGAAGAGUGGAAUUCCACGUGUAGCGGUGAAAUGCGUAGAGAUGUGGAGGAACACCAGUGGCGAAGGCGACUCUUUGGUCUUGUAACUGACGCUGAGGCGCGAAAGCGUG
RNAcentral lists this ribosomal RNA (749 nucleotides) under Bacillus sp. P313. Its description in RNAcentral is "bacterial SSU rRNA". It matches the Rfam family "Bacterial small subunit ribosomal RNA", at positions 30 to 763 of the family's 1533-position model. Lineage: Bacteria; Bacillati; Bacillota; Bacilli; Caryophanales; Bacillaceae. The record is from RNAcentral.